AUUCUGCCAAACCACAGUCGGGUGAAGCCGGGGGGAGCUCAAUGGAGUUGAGAGUGCGUGGUGCAGUGACUGUGAUACAGAGUAAUGGGAGGCAGAGCCUGGCGAUCCCAUCCUGGACUCAUUCCGUGGCCACAGGUGGAAGAUCAUGGCCCACCCAGGAUACCACGCUGAAGUUUCUCGUCAUGUCUUCUCAGGCUCCUCUUGGCUGUGGCGGUUUCUCAGAUUUCCCUUGUUUUGAUGACCUUGACAGUUUUGAGGAGGACGGGUUAAGUAUUUUGUAGAAAGUCCCUCAACUGGAAUUUGUCUGAGGUUUUUCUCACAAUUAGACCGGGGUUGUGGGUUUGGGGGAGGAAGACCCCCAAGGUGACGUGUGAUUCUCAUCCGAUCAUAUCACGGGUAGUUGCUAUCACAUGAUUUAUGCUGAUGUUGACCUUGAUCACCUGGCUGUGGUGUGUGUUUCAGGUUUCUCCACUGUAAAUGCUACUCAUUUUGGGCCUUUUUUGACCAUAGGUCUAGAGCCGUGUUCUCCAGUUGGCUUUCUCAGCAAUAAAGCUGAGAUUUUGACCUCCACUGAUCUGUUAUGUGUUAUUUCUCGAUUGAUUCCAUACCCGAGAAGGGAAAAAAAUAAAUGAAUGUCAAGUGUUAAAUCCCUAAGACCUCAAUAGCAUCGAUGUGGCAAAAUACUGUUCAUCUUUUAAGGUUUACCAGGCAUCACCUCCUCUUUGAAGCCUUCCCUGAUCUCUCCAGGUGGUGGAGUCAACGUGUCCUAGUUGUUCCCACGACCUCCACCUACAUCUCUCAUGGGACUUCUCACUUGUCAUGAUUCAUUCUCCCUCCUCUUUCCUCCACAAGAUUAUUAGCCUCUCAAGGUCACUGGCCACGUGUAUUAAUCUCUAUGUCUUUGCAACCUGGUUUAGAGUCUGGAAUGUAGAAGAUACUUAGUAAAUGUUUGCAGAAUGAAGACCCAUUCACUCCAAAUCAAUGAAGGUGACUUCUCCAGGAUGCAGACUCAGUGGGACUCCUUUUGGCUGGAGUAAAGCAGCCCUGAUGACCAGCUCCAUUCUCUUUACAGUUCCGUGGGAAGGAGGCAGGGCUGCGUAGGUGGUGCAGCUGAAAUAAUACUUAAGUCCAGGACCCAUGUGCAAUUAAGACUGAGAACCCCAUCGGUUCGCGGCUUCGUGGUGCGCA
Felis catus (domestic cat) is the source of this 1188-nucleotide long non-coding RNA. RefSeq lists it as uncharacterized. Lineage: Eukaryota; Metazoa; Chordata; Mammalia; Carnivora; Felidae. The record is from RefSeq and is a predicted model, not a curated record. The transcript has 3 exons.